RNAcentral lists this ribosomal RNA (402 nucleotides) under uncultured Sedimentibacter sp. RNAcentral describes it as "bacterial SSU rRNA". It matches the Rfam family "Bacterial small subunit ribosomal RNA", at positions 509 to 914 of the family's 1533-position model. The record is from RNAcentral. Lineage: Bacteria; Bacillati; Bacillota; Tissierellia.
CAGCAGCCGCGGUAAUACGUAGGGGGCGAGCGUUGUCCGGAUUUACUGGGCGUAAAGGGUGAGUAGGCGGUUAUAUAUGUCAGAUGUAAAAGGCUAUGGCUUAACCAUAGUUGGCAUUUGAAACUGUAUGACUUGAGUGCAGGAGAGGUAAGUGGAAUUCCUAGUGUAGCGGUGAAAUGCGUAGAUAUUAGGAGGAACACCAGUGGCGAAGGCGACUUACUGGACUGUAACUGACGCUGAGUCACGAAAGCGUGGGUAGCAAACAGGAUUAGAUACCCUGGUAGUCCACGCCGUAAACGAUGAGUGCUAGGUGUUGGGUAGCGAUACUCAGUGCCGMAGUAAACACAAUAAGCACUCCGCCUGGGGAGUACGKUCGCAAGACUGAAACUCAAAGGARUUGAC